GACUACUGCCGCCGACGGCGUCGAUGCAUCUACAUAUGAGUACUCUCGCCGCCUCUUUUUUUUAACUUGGAUCACCUAUUUUUGAUUUGAACAUUCAAGCUUCGUCGUGUAUCAAGAUUGUUUCUUUUAUUUUAUGUGUGGAAUGGUUGAUUUUUGCGAUAGGAGCGGUGAUGAGCAAUCUUUGUGGACUAGAGUUUCUGAUACUACGAAGGUAGUAUUUGACGACCAAACCCUUGGCUGUCUGAGCUCCCAAUUCACAGUCUUAGCCUUUUUUGCUGUUCAUAUAUGUACUAGACUAGUGGUCUUUAUUUCCUGUUAUAAUGCUAUGGUAUAGUGAGAUUUUGAGCAAUGAUGAACAACUGUGUUUUGGACUAGAGUUUCUGAUGCUACUACUUCGUUGGUGGUAGUUGAAGACCAAACCCUUGGCUGUCUGAACUCAUCUCACAAACCAUCAUUAUGCUUGUUGGUUCUUCGUAGUUAUUAAAAAUAUAUUUUGUUGCAUGCGUCCAUUACCAAUUCCGGAGGAUGAUUUUGUUCCCUCACGGUAUAAUGGCUCGGGCGCAACAUGCUAUUCUCUUGAUGUGCGGUCAUAUCCUUAUUGGUUGCGUUCUUAUGCCAAUCCGGCCCUGGAAAGCUCGCAUAUAGUAUUGACAUGUUAAAUAUUCUACAUUUUCCCCCAUUUGUUUCAGGAUCUAAAUGAUGUGAAACUUUGAAAGGGAAAGCGUCCAAUCUGUUCGAUUGUGAUGUACCAUGACAGUUCUUUCAUAUUGAAUAGGAAGAUCUGAUAGAUUCUUGAAACUUGUUUUUGAUUCUUUCCUCUGUUUAGAGAUGUGGAUGAUGACAACACAAUUAAAAUACAGUUAUCCCUGUCUGAUUCCUUCAAAAAGGGUGCUGAGAACAUUUUUC
Zea mays is the source of this 906-nucleotide long non-coding RNA. NCBI's taxonomy places the organism in Eukaryota, Viridiplantae, Streptophyta, Magnoliopsida, Poales, Poaceae. The record is from RefSeq and is marked validated.